Molecule: small RNA, 286 nt
Filed under: Vigna angularis var. angularis
Lineage: Eukaryota; Viridiplantae; Streptophyta; Magnoliopsida; Fabales; Fabaceae
Description: Non-protein coding transcript
Source: RNAcentral
GCAAGAUCGGUACUGGUAAGUAAUUAGGAGUUCCUGUUCUGGUGCUGCACAUGGUUCUCUGUUUCAAUGAAGCAACUUGUGUUGAUCUGCAAAUGGCAACACUAUCAUGCAUUGGUUCAGUGAAAUGGACCUAACACAUGACAAGUAUUUAUGCCAUUUACAUAUUUAUGCAGUAGAGACAGGUUUUCUUAUUGGCCAAAACUCAGAUACAUUUUUCAAAGUCUUUUUGUACUGUUCUUCCAUCACAAUUGAGGUUCAACUUGACAACAUUACAAUAAAGGUGGAC